RNAcentral lists this ribosomal RNA (239 nucleotides) under uncultured bacterium. RNAcentral describes it as "partial 16S ribosomal RNA". It matches the Rfam family "Bacterial small subunit ribosomal RNA", at positions 118 to 351 of the family's 1533-position model. The record is from RNAcentral.
UGGGUAAUCUGCCCUCGGCACCGGGAUAGCCCGGGGAAACCCGGAUUAAUACCGGAUGGCCUCUAGAGCUUUCGGGCUCUUGAGAAAAGGUAGCUUCGGCCUCCGGCCGAGGAGGAGCCCGCGGCGGAUUAGCUUGUUGGUGAGGUAAGAGCUCACCAAGGCGACGAUCCGUAGCUGGUGUGAGAGCAUGACCAGCCACACUGGGACUGAGGCACGGCCCAGACUCCCACGGGAGGCAG